GAUGAACGCUGGCGGCGUGCUUAACACAUGCAAGUCGAACGGAAAGGCCUCUGCUUUGUGGGGUGCUCGAGUGGCGAACGGGUGAGUAACACGUGAGUGAUCUGCCCUUCACUUCGGGAUAACUCUGGGAAACUGGGGCUAAUACCGGAUAGGAGAUCCUGCUGCAUGCUGUGGGGGGGAGAGUUUCGGCGGUGGGGGAUGGCCCCGCGUCUUAUCAGGUUGGUGGGGGGGUGGUGGUCUACCAAGGCUUCGGGGGGUAGCCGGCGUGAGAGGGUGACCGGCCACAUUGGGAGUGAGAUACGGCCCAGACUCCUACGGGAGGCAGCAGUGGGGAAUAUUGCAAAAUGGGCGGAAGCGUGAUGCAGCAACGCCGCGGGCGGGAUGACGGCCUUCGGGGUAUAAACCGCUUGCGCCUGUGACGAAGCGUGAGUGACGGUAAUUGGUAAAGAAGCACCGGCUAACUACGUG
This 468-nucleotide ribosomal RNA is filed under the name uncultured bacterium. RNAcentral describes it as "partial 16S ribosomal RNA". It matches the Rfam family "Bacterial small subunit ribosomal RNA", at positions 28 to 507 of the family's 1533-position model. The record is from RNAcentral.